AGAAGAAGCCCCGGCUAACUUCGUGCCAGCAGCCGCGGUAAUACGAAGGGGGCUAGCGUUGUUCGGAUUUACUGGGCGUAAAGCGCGCGUAGGCGGAUCUUUAAGUCAGGGGUGAAAUGCCGGAGCUCAACUUCGGAACUGCCUUUGAUACUGGAGAUCUUGAGUUCGGGAGAGGUGAGUGGAACUGCGAGUGUAGAGGUGAAAUUCGUAGAUAUUCGCAAGAACACCAGUGGCGAAGGCGGCUCACUGGCCCGAUACUGACGCUGAGGCGCGAAAGCGUGGGGAGCAAACAGGAUUAGAUACCCUGGUAGUCCACGCUGUAAACGAUGGAUGCUAGCCG
Molecule: ribosomal RNA, 340 nt
Filed under: uncultured bacterium
Lineage: Bacteria
Description: bacterial SSU rRNA
Rfam family: Bacterial small subunit ribosomal RNA
Source: RNAcentral